UGCAAGUCGAACGGGAUCCCGGGGGUUCGCUCCCGGGUGAGAGUGGCGAACGGGUGAGUAAUGCGUGACCGACCUGCCCCAUACACCGGAAUAGCUCCUGGAAACGGGUGGUAAUGCCGGAUGCUCCGGUUGGAUGCAUGUCCUUCCGGGAAAGAUUCCAUCGGUAUGGGAUGGGGUCGCGUCCUAUCAGCUUGAUGGCGGGGUAACGGCCCACCAUGGCUUCGACGGGUAGCCGGCCUGAGAGGGCGACCGGCCACAUUGGGACUGAGAUACGGCCCAGACUCCUACGGGAGGCAGCAGUGGGGAAUAUUGCACAAUGGGCGCAAGCCUGAUGCAGCGACGCCGCGUGCGGGAUGGAGGCCUUCGGGUUGUAAACCGCUUUUGAUCGGGAGCAAGCCCUUCGGGGUGAGUGUACCUUUCGAAUAAGCACCGGCUAACUACGUGCCAGCAGCCGCGGUAAUACGUAGGGUGCAAGCGUUAUCCGGAAUUAUUGGGCGUAAAGGGCUCGUAGGCGGUUCGUCGCGUCCGGUGUGAAAGCCCAUCGCUUAACGGUGGGUCUGCGCCGGGUACGGGCGGGCUGGAGUGCGGUAGGGGAGACUGGAAUUCCCGGUGUAACGGUGGAAUGUGUAGAUAUCGGGAAGAACACCAAUGGCGAAGGCAGGUCUCUGGGCCGUCACUGACGCUGAGGAGCGAAAGCGUGGGGAGCGAACASGAUUAGAUACCCUGGUAGUCCACGCCGUAAACGGUGGAUGCUUGGAUGUGGGGCCCGUUCCACGGGUUCCGGGUCG
Molecule: ribosomal RNA, 788 nt
Filed under: bacterium IARFR2343
Lineage: Bacteria
Description: bacterial SSU rRNA
Rfam family: Bacterial small subunit ribosomal RNA
Source: RNAcentral